Long non-coding RNA from Oryctolagus cuniculus (rabbit), 1053 nucleotides. RefSeq lists it as uncharacterized. NCBI's taxonomy places the organism in Eukaryota, Metazoa, Chordata, Mammalia, Lagomorpha, Leporidae. The record is from RefSeq and is a predicted model, not a curated record.
UUCAAGAGAAGAGUUGCUGGGGGGGGGGGGGGAACACAUCAAGUGUAGAAGAUGUGUUCAAAAAUAGAAAAUACUACCCUUGAACUUCACAGUUCGCUCUCCAAAGAAAGUUUUAGAAGUUUUAAGUCUGGAAACUGAGAAAUAAUUACUUUAUGUGCUUUCCAUACGAGGUUAAGGUCUCUCCAAUAAGAGUAUUCAUUACAAGGAAUAUGUAGAACAAGGCUAAAGACUGAAGCAAGAGAAUCUCAACUUUGCUGGAGGAUGGUAAUGUGCUCAACCAAAGAAAAAAAGCUUAUCUUCACUUCUAGUAGGGUGGCGAUACUACAGUUCUCCCCAACACCUCUAAGCACAAUCCUGCUCUGCUAAAAUAGCUCCUCCUUGCUUCCUCUCUUCUGCUGCCUGGAAUGUGGGCAUGUUGGUCAGGGCUACAACAGACAUCCCAUGACCGUGAGAAAAACCAAGAAAAUGGCAGAGAGCUCUGUGGGGCAGGUGUUGGGGCGCAGCGGGUAAAGCUGGCGGCGUGUAACACUAGAAUCCCACAUAGGCUCCAGUUCAUGUAACGGCUGCUCCACUUCUGAUCCUCUCUGCUAAUGACCUGGGAAAGCAGCAGAAGAUGGCCCAAGUGUUUGGGCCUCUGCCAUCCACAUGGGAGACCUGGAAGAAGCUGCAGCCAUCUGGGGAGUGAACUGAUGGAAAAUUCUCUGUCUCUCCCUCUCUCUGUCAUUCUUUCAAAUAAAUAAAUAAAUAAAUCUUUUAAGUUUCACAAAACAAAUCAAGAAUUCAAUACAGGCCUUGAGCCCUGAAAGGUCAUGAAUCACAAUUCUGACAUAUAUUAGGUAAAAGAUGUAGAGAUUUUAAAAGCCUGAGAAAGCAAUGGGGAUGGCCCAAGUACCGGGUCCCUGAUAACGGUAUGGGGAACCAGGGUGGCUUCAGCCUGUCCCAGCCCCUGCUGUGACAGCCAUUUGAGGAGUGAACAAGUGAAUGGAAAAUCUCUCUCUCCCUCUUGCUCUGUCACUCUGCCUCACAAAUGAAUAAAGUAGUCUUGGAUUAUAA